ACCCAGUGUCACUGCUGAGCUCAGAACUGGGCUUGCUUCUGUUUGCAGGUGAGCAUGGCUGCGAAAGGGCUCCCAGCCUAUCCAGGGCCCCCGUUCCUGGGACGCCCCAUGCCGCGCCCGGUGGUCUAUGGGCCUCCGCCACAACCAAGGCUCUGUGGGACUUUCAGGCCUCGGCCGAUGCCUCCGCCGCGACCGCUGACAUUCGUCUCAUGCAUGGGCCCACCGCUGGGCUUAAGGGAAUACGCGCCCGGCAUCCUGCCCAGACGCUGCGACCUGCCGCUGCACCCCCGUGAGUUCUUGCCGGGACCUGUGCCAUUCAGGCCUCGAGGCCCGAUCAUUCCUGCUCCUCGAAUGCCACCACCACCCGCCGGGCCCCAGGACUACCCACCGCCACCUGCCGCAGGGGAGCCCCUGCUCUCGGAGCCCAAAGAGGCCCCAGCCUCGCCACAAAGCAGCCGAGAACCUGCCCAAGCUCUGAGGCAGAGUGCAUAAUGGCCCCACUAAUCAGAGGCCCAAGGUUUUUAUUGGUUUUGGAGGCCCAGUUCAUUUCAAAAGGAUUUUAUUACUAAGCUGCCUUGAGCGGUGUACAUUUUCAAGCCAAACAAUACAGAAGUCUCAUCUUCCUCUAUAAAAAUUGCCUCUUAAGCUAGAGUGACAUUCCAACUUUGAAAUGUGCAAUAAUGAUCCCUGUGUUUUAGUUAAUAUAGCAUAGAUAUGUAUAAAAUAAUUCAGAAUGUCAUAAAAAUGACUGUUUCCCCUGGAAAUAGUUUAGGAACACAUAUUUCUGACUCAGCCCAUGGGUCAAUCCAGAACCAGGGGGCAGUUUCCUGGUGAAGGAACGGGGAUUGACAGAUGCAGAGUAGGAGACAGAGAGACGGAGACAAGUCGAAGUUCGAU
Molecule: long non-coding RNA, 897 nt
Filed under: Cavia porcellus (domestic guinea pig)
Lineage: Eukaryota; Metazoa; Chordata; Mammalia; Rodentia; Caviidae
Description: lncRNA (ENSCPOG00000031739.1)
Source: RNAcentral